UGUAUAAUCUUAUAAGCUUGGUUUGUUUCAAUGUUGGUUUGCCUCGUUCAGAAGCCAUCUUUCUAAGUAAACAUGAAGCUGGCCACAAAUGUUGCAGCACUCCACACAUCUCACAGAGCGAACUUAACAAACAGACAGACAGACAGACAGACCCAGCUCUCACACACAGCGAUCGAGAGCGAGAGCGAGCAUGAGAGACGAAGUUUGUAGUUUUGAGUCCAAGACAAGCUGAAGCAGAGCAUCACUGCACACAUGUAGCAGAAGCAACACUGAGGCUGGCAGCUGAGUCGCAGUAUCAGAGCUUCCUCUGCUUGUUUUUUGAGCUCUCAAGUUUGGGGACACUUUGUUGUUGUUGAUGUUGUUCCAGCAACCAUGCUUGUUGAGCUGAAGAAUGGAGAGACUUAUAAUGGUCAUUUAGUGAACUGUGAUACAUGGAUGAAUAUUCACCUUCGUGAAAAAAUUUGCACUUCAGAGGUGGAAUUCCUUCUGCUCUCGCUAGGAUGGCAACUGCUUUUGGAGAAUGCCUGAGUGCCAUAUUCGAGGAAAUACCAUCAAAUAUUUGCGGGUUCCUGAUGAGGUCAUCGACAAGGUUCAGGAAUAGACAGUGAAACGUCCAGGUAUGACCUUUUUUUUUAACCAGAUUUUUGCGAUUCCUGUGUCACUAGUUCAUAUGAGCUGUUCUCAACGGGCUGGAAAAGGUGCACUGUAUAAGAUACGCAAUAUCUCUUUAUAUCAGAUCCACUUGAACACUCAGAUUCGACUGAUUCUAUGGAAGACUUGGUGAUCUUUUGGUGUAAAACCAACACAAACUAGAUUGCUCGCUACAUUCUCAGUGAAUGCCAAGACCCUCAUGCUCAGGAUUAUGGUCAUCUGUUUGAAAUUGUCCUAUGAUGUUCCUGCCAGACCAUAAACCCACCAUCGACUUCCAAUUCGGGCAUUUUUAAAGAGCUCUUUUUUGUCUGUAUCCAGUUGGUGCUGCCGGGGGGCGAAGCCAGUGAACACCACAUCAGUCCAGUACUUCUCAAUGUAAAUUUGACAUUUUGUGAGAUAGAAAGCUUGAAGAAACGGGGUUUCUGUUUCUGAUCACGUUUAUCCUAUUCGUCACAGAAAAGCCUCAGUUGUAAGUUUGGUAUUGCACCUUCACGCUUUUACAAGCAGAUCCUUCCAGCAGUUUUUCAACAGGAGAGGAGCUGUUGGGUAUACAUCAAAAUGUGAAUUUUUUUCUCCAAUAGCUGACUUGGGUUCUUUUCACUCCACCAGUGACGAAAUGUAGAGCUUGAUUUCUUCAAGUGUAGCAAAAUGAUAAUUGCCAUUGCAGCAAGAUAUGGUUAUUCACGAGGUUUCAAGUAAAUGCAUGAAUAGGACCCCCGUCAAGCUUUUGUAUCUAUUGACACCAAUGCACAUUCCAAAUGGCAUGAGCUCAAUCUUCACUGUC
This is a non-coding RNA of Physcomitrium patens, 1435 nucleotides long. NCBI's taxonomy places the organism in Eukaryota, Viridiplantae, Streptophyta, Bryopsida, Funariales, Funariaceae. The record is from RefSeq and is a predicted model, not a curated record.